RNAcentral lists this ribosomal RNA (483 nucleotides) under uncultured bacterium. RNAcentral's name for it is "bacterial SSU rRNA". It matches the Rfam family "Bacterial small subunit ribosomal RNA", at positions 508 to 990 of the family's 1533-position model. The record is from RNAcentral.
CCAGCAGCCGCGGUAAUACGUAGGUGGCAAGCGUUGUCCGGAAUUAUUGGGCGUAAAGCGCGCGCAGGCGGAUCAGUCAGUCUGUCUUAAAAGUUCGGGGCUUAACCCCGUGAUGGGAUGGAAACUGCUGAUCUAGAGUAUCGGAGAGGAAAGUGGAAUUCCUAGUGUAGCGGUGAAAUGCGUAGAUAUUAGGAAGAACACCAGUGGCGAAGGCGACUUUCUGGACGAAAACUGACGCUGAGGCGCGAAAGCCAGGGGAGCAAACAGGAUUAGAUACCCUGGUAGUCCACGCCGUAAACGAUGAGUGCUAGGUGUUAGGCCCUUUCCGGGGCUUAGUGCCGCAGCUAACGCAUUAAGCACUCCGCCUGGGGAGUACGACCGCAAGGUUGAAACUCAAAGGAAUUGACGGGGGCCCGCACAAGCGGAGGAACAUGUGGUUUAAUUCGAUGAUACGCGAGGAACCUUACCCGGGCUUGAAUUGCC